GAUGAACGCUGGCGGCGUGCCUAAUACAUGCAAGUCGAGCGAACAGACGAGGAGCUUGCUCUUCUGACGUUAGCGGCGGACGGGUGAGUAACACGUGGAUAACCUACCUAUAAGACUGGGAUAACUUCGGGAAACCGGAGCUAAUACCGGAUAAUAUAUUGAACCGCAUGGUUCAAUAGUGAAAGACGGUUUUGCUGUCACUUAUAGAUGGAUCCGCGCCGCAUUAGCUAGUUGGUAAGGUAACGGCUUACCAAGGCGACGAUGCGUAGCCGACCUGAGAGGGUGAUCGGCCACACUGGAACUGAGACACGGUCCAGACUCCUACGGGAGGCAGCAGUAGGGAAUCUUCCGCAAUGGGCGAAAGCCUGACGGAGCAACGCCGCGUGAGUGAUGAAGGUCUUCGGAUCGUAAAACUCUGUUAUUAGGGAAGAACAAAUGUGUAAGUAACUAUGCACGUCUUGACGGUACCUAAUCAGAAAGCCACGGCUAAUUACGUG
This 497-nucleotide ribosomal RNA is filed under the name uncultured bacterium. RNAcentral describes it as "partial 16S ribosomal RNA". It matches the Rfam family "Bacterial small subunit ribosomal RNA", at positions 28 to 507 of the family's 1533-position model. The record is from RNAcentral.